CAGCAGCCGCGGGAAUACGAAGGGUGCAAGCGUUACUCGGAAUUACUGGGCGUAAAGCGUGCGUAGGUGGUGGUUUAAGUCCGUUGUGAAAGCCCUGGGCUCAACCUGGGAAUUGCAGUGGAUACUGGGUCACUAGAGUGUGGUAGAGGAUAGUGGAAUUUCCGGUGUAGCAGUGAAAUGCGUAGAGAUCGGAAGGAACAUCUGUGGCGAAGGCGACUAUCUGGGCCAACACUGACACUGAGGCACGAAAGCGUGGGGAGUAAACAGGAUUAGAUACCCCGGUAGUCCCUGUCUCUUAUAA
RNAcentral lists this ribosomal RNA (301 nucleotides) under uncultured bacterium. RNAcentral describes it as "partial 16S ribosomal RNA". It matches the Rfam family "Bacterial small subunit ribosomal RNA", at positions 509 to 809 of the family's 1533-position model. The record is from RNAcentral.